CCUACGGGCGGCAGCAGUCGAGAAUCAUUCACAAUGGGGGAAACCCUGAUGGGGCGACGCCGCGUGGGGGAAUGAAGGUCUGCGGAUUGUAAACCCCUGUCAUGUGGGAGCAAAUUAAAAAGAGAGUACCACAAGAGGAAGAGACGGCUAACGCGGGGCCAGCAGCCGCGGUAAUACAGAGGUCGCAAGCGUUGUUCGGAAUCACGGGGCGGAAAGCGUGCGUCGGCGGUUUCGUAAGUCGUGUGUGAAAGGCGCGGGCUCCACCCGCGGACGGCACAUGAUACUGCGAGACUAGAGUACUGGCGGGGGAACCGUUAUUCUCGUUGUAGCCG
Molecule: ribosomal RNA, 332 nt
Filed under: uncultured bacterium
Lineage: Bacteria
Description: partial 16S ribosomal RNA
Rfam family: Bacterial small subunit ribosomal RNA
Source: RNAcentral